UGUUGAGUUUAGACUGUCUACGUUGUUUUUAUUUUUCCAAAACGUGUGGACUCAUCGUGACUAAGAAAACGAGUUAAAACAAACUCAUAUGAAGCCCUCAGAUCAAGCUUUGUUUAGUCACGAUGACACGACACUUUUGUCGAUUCAAUGUCGCAAUAUUUGCUCCAUAUACAUUAUGUACGUUAUGUACCUUUGGUAAAUACAAAAAUAUAGUAACUUUAUUUCACACGUACCUACUGAGAAAUCGCUAAGUUAGUUCUAAGAACUCUAUAAUUAUUUUUAUUUGCCCGACAGUCAUUAAGUGUAGUGUGUCAGUAUCAGAUAGACCACUGCUGUUUGUAUUGUAUUAUUUGUAUAGUUAUAUUAUGUUCCUGUGACUCCUGUGUCCAUGGGUGGGACUAAUCGCUUACCAUCAGGCUUUGUACCAGAGUAACUGGUGGAGAGUCUCAGAUUCAAUACUCAGGUCGUGGAUGCAGGCUGACUUAAUACUGAGUAUUGCAGCUAUGGGCUUGCUUGCUUUUUGUUUUGUCCCACAAUUGAGCCCGCUUCUGUACGAAUGGGCCAGCUCGACCGGAGUGAUACCACGGCCACACAGAAAAACGACGUAAAAUAACGUUUGCGUUGUGUGAGUGAAGUUCCUUAUCUUCACAAUCCCCGAUUUCACAACAACUCUUAAAUUCUUAACCAUCAAAAGGCUGGCAAGGCACUUGUAACGCCUUUGGUGUUUCAAGUGUCCAUGGGCUGCGACGAUUGCUUACCAUCAGUUGAUCCGUUUGAUCGUUUACUAGCCUAUACAAUAAAAAGAGAACUCAUAUCCGGUAAAUAACACUAUUUUGUAAAUAAAUG
This is a long non-coding RNA of Spodoptera frugiperda (fall armyworm), 846 nucleotides long. RefSeq lists it as uncharacterized. The transcript is spliced from 3 exons. NCBI's taxonomy places the organism in Eukaryota, Metazoa, Arthropoda, Insecta, Lepidoptera, Noctuidae. The record is from RefSeq and is a predicted model, not a curated record.